RNAcentral lists this long non-coding RNA (1639 nucleotides) under Nicotiana tabacum (common tobacco). RNAcentral's name for it is "long non-coding RNA (NTAB_LNC000882)". Lineage: Eukaryota; Viridiplantae; Streptophyta; Magnoliopsida; Solanales; Solanaceae. The record is from RNAcentral.
AGCCUAAUCACAUAGCAUUCAAAUACUAGCAAACCAUGCAAACCAACCUAAAUGUUACUGCUAUUACAAACCAAAGAACUUCUUUCACGUAUAGCCAUUUUCAAACAAAACUGAUACUAAACAGAAGAAUCGAAUCGCUUAAAAGCUUUGAUUUCAUGCUAUGACAUCCUACUCAUGCUCAUUAUACUAAUCAAAACAUUUCUAAUGUUGAACAUUAUAGGUAUACAUGAGAUUGAAAGAAAAAGAAACAAGAUCCAAUACAAAUAACAUCAUAUUUCAGAUCCAAACUUCAUACUACACUUAAGUGAUGUCCAUGGUGCUGAAAAUACCUGGAAAUUGAAAGGAAAAAAAAGUGCAGAAUCAGUAGAUAGCAACAACAGAAUAAACCUAGCAACAUCAAUAAAACAGUACCCCUAGAUCCAAACCAGCUUGAACCAACUUUUAAAAAUCCCAAAACUCAAACCAUCUUCAAAUCAAGUGCAGGAAUUUACAAUUUUCAAGAGUUCUAGCUAGUGGGGAGAUCAAAAAACCCAGCAAACAAACCAAAUUUGAGCAGUUUCCAGCCAAGAAAUGUAAGAAAUCCAGUAUUAUCUUUCAGAGCCAGCCGUUUUAAAUUUUCAAAGGUUUUUUUUAUCUCCUCCCCUUUUUUUUCUUGCUACUGAAGUAAAAGAUGACUUUAUAGGCAAGGUAUUAGGGCAGCCUAAUGGGAUUCAUCUUUGCAUUUAAAACCUUUUGCAAUUUUUGUUUUAACCCCAAUCCCAGCUUCCUAGAAGCUUCCCUAGUCUGUUACUAAGAUUCCCUUACCCAAUCUCCCUAAAUUACCCCUUUAAAUAGCUAUUAUUUACCCUCUGAAACCAGAACAGAUAUAGGUCAAAGUUGACCCAAGGUUGAAUUAACCCAAGACCCAGCCCGAACCAUGAGCCUGUACUAACAGCCCAAAUUAAGUUUUCAAAUUUUGAACUUAAUAGGAAUCUUUCAAACAGACCAACCCUUGAAUUUCAGCAGAAAAAGAUUUCACUUAGAGAAGCUCGGAAAGAGUUAUUUAAUAAUUAAAUCGACUAAUUAAUCAGAUUAUACCAGGAUAUUGAUACGCUAACCUAUUUUAUUGAACUUAAAAAUAAACUUAAACUAAAGAGGAAUAAGAAUUAGAACCAUAACCUUAAACAUUAAAAAAAUGAGAAGAGAAGAAACAGAAGGAGGCGGGUUCAAGAAUGAAACAGACGACAGAGACAAAGGAGCAAGAACAAAGACAAUACCUCGAUAGCCAUACAAACAAGGCUUGAUAAACCUCAAGCGACUCGGAUCUGACUCGAAACCGGUAUUAACCAUAUGUUCUCUUUGAGAACAAAGGAGAAAUACUUGUUUCAAGCCCAAUCAUUCAUAAGAACUUGAGGACUUGAGAGAUUUUCUUCUCCUUCGAUUUCAGAUUUGAAACAGGUCCGAUUUGGCGAGGAUUCGAAAAAAUUGGCGGUGGAUUGGGGCUAAGGGAAGGGUGAUAGUUGCAUGGAUGGAUUUUGGUGGUAUUCGAGCUCCGCCACCGGCCGAAAAUGGCGAAGAGAUGGAGGGCGGCGCUAGGGUUUGCUGAGGAGGGUGAGAGACAGAAGGGAGUUUGAACUGGGUUGUCUCUGAGAAUGCUUGG